RNAcentral lists this small RNA (303 nucleotides) under uncultured fungus. RNAcentral's name for it is "eukaryotic LSU rRNA". It matches the Rfam family "Eukaryotic large subunit ribosomal RNA", at positions 668 to 961 of the family's 3401-position model. Lineage: Eukaryota; Fungi. The record is from RNAcentral.
AAGGAGUCUACCAAGUCUGCGAGUAUUUGGGUGUGGAAAACCCUUGUGCGCAAUGAAAGUGAACAUGGGGUGGGAUGGCCUGCUGCGGCGGGCUUGCACCAUCGACCGGUCCGGAUUCCCUGAUGAUGGAUCUGAGUGAGAGCAGGCUUGAUGGGACCCGAAAGAUGGUGAACUAUGCCUGAAUAGGGUGAAGCCAGAGGAAACUCUGGUGGAGGCUCGUAGAGAUUCUGACGUGCAAAUCGAUCUUCAAAUUUGGGUAUAGGGGCGAAAGACUAAUCGAACCAUCUAGUAGCUGGUUCCCUC